Molecule: unclassified non-coding RNA, 128 nt
Filed under: soil metagenome
Description: partial internal transcribed spacer 1
Source: RNAcentral
CGAAUGGGUCCAAAGACUCUUAAAGCCUACCGUGCUCCCCUACGUGGAAAACAGGAAAGCCCUCCGGGGCAUAGGAAAUCUGAGAAGUUGAGAACUGCGCCCCGGCGCAUGACUAAAACAAAAAAUUA